CGUCUGCUGGCCGCGCGCCUCCCGCUGAGUCAGCCGGUGAGUCAGCGCCGCCGCGCCGGCCGCCGCGGGAGCGGGAGGGAGAGGAGCGGGAGGGGCCGGGGAGGAAGGGCAACUUCCAAAGCAGGGUUUGCGCCCUGUGGCCUGCAGGCCACAUCCAGCACGACUUACGGUUUUGUUCAGCCCAGGAACUAAGAGUGGUUUUUACAUUUUUUGAUGGUUGAAAAAUAUUAGAAGAUGAAUAUUUUGUAACAAAUGGAAACUGUAUGAAAUUCAAAUUUCAGUGUCCACGGAAAGUUUUACUGGAACAGCAAGCUCCUUUGUUGCCUAGGUCCGCGGCUGCUUUGCACAACGACAGCAGAGUCGAGCCAUUGUGAGAGACGAUUGUACCAGGUUUGGCUACUGGGAGUCCGUGUGUCCUUUGCGUGCCCCCAUCAUCCUUUGAGCACUUCCUUACUGUCUAGCACAAGAUGUUCCAGGCUCCUCUGACAACAUGGAUGGACUGUUGCAGUGGAGUUCACCCACCCCAAAUGGGUCUUUGCAUGGGGGUCCAGCUGCACUCCAGUUUCGAAUGAUGAAGGCCUUGGGAGCGCCAGAGGGAGAGGCGCUUUCAAACUCUCCUGAUU
Equus caballus (horse) is the source of this 623-nucleotide non-coding RNA. Lineage: Eukaryota; Metazoa; Chordata; Mammalia; Perissodactyla; Equidae. The record is from RefSeq and is a predicted model, not a curated record.